CCUACGGGCGGCAGCAGUGAGGAAUAUUGGUCCAUGGGCUUACGCCUGAACCAGCCAAGUCGCGUGAGGGAAGACUGCCCUAUGGGUUGUAAACCUCUUUUGUCAGGGAGCAAUUGGCGCUACGUGUAGCGUUAUCGAGAGUACCUGAAGAAAAAGCAUCGGCUAACUCCGUGCCAGCAGCCGCGGUAAUACGGAGGAUGCGAGCGUUAUCCGGAUUUAUUGGGUUUAAAGGGUGCGUAGGCGGAAUGCCAAGUCAGCGGUAAAAUCGCGGGGCUCAACCUCGCUCCGCCGUUGAAACUGGCGGUCUUGAGUGGGCGAGAAGUAUGCGGAAUGCGUGGUGUAGCGGUGAAAUGCAUAGAUAUCACGCAGAACGCCGAUUGCGAAGGCAGCAUACCGGCGCCCAACUGACGCUGAGGCACGAAAGCGUGGGUAUCGAACAGGAUUAGAUACCCCUGUAGUC
RNAcentral lists this ribosomal RNA (460 nucleotides) under uncultured bacterium. RNAcentral describes it as "partial 16S ribosomal RNA". It matches the Rfam family "Bacterial small subunit ribosomal RNA", at positions 338 to 795 of the family's 1533-position model. The record is from RNAcentral.